RNAcentral lists this ribosomal RNA (372 nucleotides) under uncultured organism. RNAcentral describes it as "partial 16S ribosomal RNA". It matches the Rfam family "Bacterial small subunit ribosomal RNA", at positions 527 to 896 of the family's 1533-position model. The record is from RNAcentral.
GUAGGUGGCAAACGUUGUCCGGAAUUAUUGGGCGUAAAGCGCGCGCAGGUGGUUCUUUAAGUCUGAUGUGAAAGCCCCCGGGCUCAACCGGGGAGGGUCAUUGGAAACUGGGGAACUUGAGUGCAGGAGAGGAAAGUGGAAUUCCACGUGUAGCGGUGAAAUGCGUAGAUAUGUGGAGGAACACCAGUGGCGAAGGCGACUUUCUGGCCUGUAACUGACACUGAGGCGCGAAAGCGUGGGGAGCAAACAGGAUUAGAUACCCUGGUAGUCCACGCCGUAAACGAUGAGUGCUAGGUGUUGGGGGUUUCCGCCCCUCAGUGCUGCAGCUAACGCAUUAAGCACUCCGCCUGGGGAGUACGGUCGCAAAGACUG